Molecule: unclassified non-coding RNA, 375 nt
Filed under: soil metagenome
Description: partial contains 5.8S ribosomal RNA, internal transcribed spacer 2, and large subunit ribosomal RNA
Rfam family: 5.8S ribosomal RNA (bases 1-120)
Source: RNAcentral
GAUGAAGAACGCAGCGAAAUGCGAUAAGUAAUGUGAAUUGCAGAAUUCAGUGAAUCAUCGAAUCUUUGAACGCACAUUGCGCCCGCCAGUAUUCUGGCGGGCAUGCCUGUUCGAGCGUCAUUUCAACCCUCAAGACCCUUUCGGGGGACUUGGUGUUGGGGACCGGCACAGGGGCCUGCCUGCUUGUCUUGCAGCGCCCUCGCCGCCCCCGAAAUGAAUUGGCGGCCUCGUCGCGGCCUCCCCUGCGUAGUAGCACAAACCUCGCAACGGGAACGUGACGGCGGCCACUGCCGUAAAACAACCCAAUUUUAUUAGAGUUGACCUCGAAUCAGGUAGGAAUACCCGCUGAACUUAAGCAUAUCAAUAAGCGGAGGA